AUGGCUGCGAGUUGCCGCGGAGAGUUGAAAGCACUUGGAUUUCACAUACUUUAACUGGAUGCGCGCCUCACUCGCAUAUGUACGAUCGUAUGGCGCGAGUGCAUGCCGGCGAGUGCGGCGACGGCGGCGACGGCGGCGCACACCUUCGAGUGUGAUGGAUGACAGCGCGCGUUGCAUACCGCGCCAAGCGGAUCCGUACGACGUAUUAAUUCGUCCGUGGAAUAGAACCGACACUUCUGAUUUCUUAGCGCGGUGACAUAUUGUCCGGUGAUUAUCGGCAAGGCGGAUGGAGGAGGAAAAGGCAGCAGGGGAAGGGCCUGAUAGAUGGGAGCGCGUCCCGUCGAUAUUUCUCCGCCACACGCUACUACUUUAUCAUCCCCCGGCACCGAUCGUCCAUCAUCCGCAAUCACUUCCUUGCGCAUUCACUCCCGGCGAGCAGUGCGGAUCAAUCCAAAUUUCGUCCCGCAGCUGUGGAGGAUCGUGCAGCCGCCUCUGCCACUACCGCCGCCGCCGCCGCCGCUGCCGCCACCAC
Long non-coding RNA from Harpegnathos saltator (Jerdon's jumping ant), 532 nucleotides. RefSeq lists it as uncharacterized. The record is from RefSeq and is a predicted model, not a curated record. The transcript has 3 exons. Lineage: Eukaryota; Metazoa; Arthropoda; Insecta; Hymenoptera; Formicidae.